Molecule: transfer RNA, 71 nt
Filed under: archaeon
Lineage: Archaea
Description: tRNA-Trp
Rfam family: tRNA
About the family: Transfer RNA (tRNA) molecules are approximately 80 nucleotides in length. Their secondary structure includes four short double-helical elements and three loops (D, anti-codon, and T loops).
Source: RNAcentral
GGGUGCAUCGGAUAAUGUUAGUCUACCCGGCUCCAGCCCGGGAGGUGGGGGUUAAAUUCCUCCUGCGCCCA